GAUGAAUGCUGGCGGCGUGCCUAAUACAUGCAAGUCGAGCGGUAACAGGGCUUCACCGUUUCCUUGACACACCUAGCGCUUCUAUCGUAGGUUGGUUCGAUUCGAGGGAACAGUGAAGCUGCUGACGAGCGGCGGACGGCUGAGUAACGCGUGGGAACGUACCCCAAACUGAGGGAUAACGCACCGAAAGGUGUGCUAAUACCGCAUAUGAUCUUCGGAUUAAAGCUUUCGGGCGGUUUGGGAAUGGCCUGCGUACGAUUAGAUAGUUGGUAGGGUAACGGCCUACCAAGUCGACGAUCGUUAGAUGGUUUGAGAAGAUGAUCAUCCAGACUGGGACUGAGACACGGCCCAG
RNAcentral lists this ribosomal RNA (352 nucleotides) under uncultured bacterium. RNAcentral's name for it is "bacterial SSU rRNA". It matches the Rfam family "Bacterial small subunit ribosomal RNA", at positions 28 to 334 of the family's 1533-position model. The record is from RNAcentral.